CCAAUAGCGUAUAUUAAAGUUGUUGCAGUUAAAAAGCUCGUAGUUGAAUUUCGGGAUCAAUAUAUCGGUCGUGCCUUGGUACGUACUGGUAUCAUUGGUUUCUCCUUUCUGACGAACCAUGAUGUCAUUAAUUUGGUGUUAUGGGAAGUUAGGACUGUUACUUUGAAAAAAUUAGAGUGUUUAAAGCAGGCUUUAGCUUGAAUACAUUAGCAUGGAAUAAUGAAAUAGGACGUUCGAACCUAUUUUGUUGGUUUCUAGGAUCAACGUAAUGAUUAAUAGGGAUAGUUGGGGGCAUUAGUAUUCAAUUGUCAGAGGUGAAAUUCUUGGAUUUAUUGAAGACGAACUACUGCGAAAGCAUUUGCCAAGAAUGUUUUCAUUAAUCAAGAACGAAAGUUAGAGGUUCGAAGGCGAUCAGAUACCGCCCUAGUUCUAACCAUAAACGAUGCCAACCAGCGAUCCGUCGGUGUUUAUUUGAUGACUCGACGGGCAGCUUCCG
Molecule: unclassified non-coding RNA, 496 nt
Filed under: uncultured Glomus
Lineage: Eukaryota; Fungi; Glomeromycota; Glomeromycetes; Glomerales; Glomeraceae
Description: SSU rRNA
Rfam family: Eukaryotic small subunit ribosomal RNA
Source: RNAcentral